UACGUAGGGUCCGAGCGUUGUCCGGAAUUACUGGGCGUAAAGAGCUCGUAGGCGGUUUGUCGCGUUGUUCGUGAAAACUCACAGCUCAACUGUGGGCGUGCGGGCGAUACGGGCAGACUUGAGUACUGCAGGGGAGACUGGAAUUCCUGGUGUAGCGGUGGAAUGCGCAGAUAUCAGGAGGAACACCGGUGGCGAAGGCGGUUCGCUGGGCCUUUCCUGACGCUGAGGAGCGAAAGCAUGGGGAGCAAACAGG
RNAcentral lists this ribosomal RNA (253 nucleotides) under uncultured bacterium. RNAcentral's name for it is "partial 16S ribosomal RNA". It matches the Rfam family "Bacterial small subunit ribosomal RNA", at positions 524 to 776 of the family's 1533-position model. The record is from RNAcentral.